This is a long non-coding RNA of Vigna radiata var. radiata (mung bean), 390 nucleotides long. RefSeq lists it as uncharacterized. The record is from RefSeq and is a predicted model, not a curated record. The transcript is spliced from 4 exons. Lineage: Eukaryota; Viridiplantae; Streptophyta; Magnoliopsida; Fabales; Fabaceae.
AUAUGAAGCGCGAGAAACAAAUAAAAUUAAUAUGUGGCGGUAAAAUAGAGUUCUGUGUAUUUAAAUAGCAGUGUCUCAUUACACUUCUCACCACAAAGCAAAGACAACGUUCAUCCUUUUCUCUCUUAUAGUCUACAUUCUGCUGUUUCAUGACUGUGAAACUACGGUAUUGGGUUGUGUCGAAUUGAAAAUUGGGUUCAAUUUUCAGAUUCUUCUAUUGUGCUUGUUCUUUGGACUUGAUAGAAGGAAGAAAGGUCCAGAAGAAAAUGGUGGAGCACUGACACUUAGAGUUCUGGGAAAACUCCUUUAAUUGAUCAAUGAACAAGCCAAGGAAGUUGAAGCAAAGAAUUUACACAAGAAGUCCUUCAUCAAGCUUACAUGCCAUCCCGC